Small nucleolar RNA from Coffea arabica (coffee), 107 nucleotides. Lineage: Eukaryota; Viridiplantae; Streptophyta; Magnoliopsida; Gentianales; Rubiaceae. The record is from RefSeq and is a predicted model, not a curated record.
AUCUGAUGUUGAGGGUAUUUGAUACAUAGUUUCUUAAACCUCUCCCAGUAUUCAUAGAGGGACUCGCCUGGGUGUUGUUUGAUGCCGCAUAUCUCCUUCCUUAGGCU